This 625-nucleotide long non-coding RNA is filed under the name Homo sapiens (human). RNAcentral's name for it is "non-protein coding lnc-EFCAB11-11:1". Lineage: Eukaryota; Metazoa; Chordata; Mammalia; Primates; Hominidae. The record is from RNAcentral.
AUUCUUUUGUGAGUAAGCUGGAAAGAAACAAGGGGAUUACUUUUCUGUUUUUAUAAAAUGAUCCCGAUGUCAUAUGGUUUUAAAACAUAACUAAAUUUCUGGAGCAGAGAUGGACUUUUGGGGGUGUCUCGGCCCUCUUUUUUUUUUCCCCAAACUUUAGAAAUCUGACACAGUUAAAUUCAUUUUUAGAAGAGAAUGCACGUGUUCUUCAAUGUUGACGCUGAAAAACAAUGAGAUUCUCAUUUUAUUGGUAGUUUGGAGUAUUGGGAAAGGGUCGUUGUGGUGCAUAGACCCAGAGUAUAGACAAAAUCUAAUUCAGGCUUUGAAAAAGACACCUUAUCACCCACACCCACACGUGUUCAAUACACCUCCCACCUGUCCUCAGGCAUAUCAAAGGAGGGAGCACAAAGUGAUCUUCUGAAAUAGCAUUAAUGAAGUUCUUCUGCAUCUCAGUUGAGAAGCAUUCCAUCACAGGCCCUAGACAAUCAGUCUUCAGCAAGAGACAGGGAGGAACAGCUGGGCUCUCUGAGAAGACUGCUGUAUGUCUGCCUUUGCUAGGCGAUUAGCGUGAUGGUACCCAUAGCAACUGGAGCGUCUCCAUAGUAACGCGUAGCCGAGACAGGUG